UCCGGUGGUAUAGGACGCCGUGAUGAGUUCUUUGUUUUGCUCUCUUUCGUGUACUUCCCGGCGGUAUGGGACGUCGUGGUAAGUUCUUGUAUGUAUGUUCUAAAGAUUGUUGAUGAUGAUUAUGGCAAGUAGAUGUUUUGCUAUUGUGUAUAUGGUUGUAUGCUUUCGAAAUAAUACUCAGUUGUUAUGGUGAUUAUGGAGUAUAUUGAAAUAGUAUGUCAUGUUAUUGCUUUAAUAGUAUAGAUGUUGUUACAGUGGUAUCAAAGUAGAU
RNAcentral lists this long non-coding RNA (271 nucleotides) under Capsicum annuum. RNAcentral describes it as "long non-coding RNA (CANN_LNC004370)". The record is from RNAcentral. Lineage: Eukaryota; Viridiplantae; Streptophyta; Magnoliopsida; Solanales; Solanaceae.